RNAcentral lists this ribosomal RNA (253 nucleotides) under uncultured bacterium. Its description in RNAcentral is "partial 16S ribosomal RNA". It matches the Rfam family "Bacterial small subunit ribosomal RNA", at positions 524 to 776 of the family's 1533-position model. The record is from RNAcentral.
UACGUAGGGGGCUAGCGUUGUCCGGAAUCAUUGGGCGUAAAGAGCGUGUAGGCGGUCCGGUAAGUCCGCUGUGAAAGUCGGGGGCUCAACCCUCGAAUGCCGGUGGAUACUGUCGGGCUAGAGUGCGGAAGAGGCGAGUGGAAUUCCUGGUGUAGCGGUGAAAUGCGCAGAUAUCAGGAGGAACACCAAUUGCGAAGGCAGCUCGCUGGGACGUUACUGACGCUGAGACGCGAAAGCGUGGGGAGCAAACAGG